UCUGACACAGCUUUCAAAACCCAUGCUCAUUUUCUGCCUUAAGCAACGUCAGUGAUAAUGUUAGAUAAAAUGUGAUAGUCCACAGAUGCCAUCGGGUACACGUGUCCGGCCCCUUCCAGAUUUUCUAUAAAAUAGUGAAGGGCUCAAGUGGAAGUUGUUGAUUUGGACAUGCGCUGCCUGUUCUGUCAAUUCUUCUUUGUCAGGUGCCAGCCUUGAAGGGUUUUAUUGAUUGAAGGGAAUAUGUCCUCUAGGCCUAGUACGAGAAAUGGGAGAGGGAAGUAGGUGUGCCAGGAGUGAAAGGAACACUGAGGAACAGGAUCUAUACAACUGGCGCAAUAGCUUGCGGAGUCCUUGGCAAAUACCAAGAGAGACUCUAGGUGGGUGCGGCGGCCCUGUAGACCACCAACUAGUCGGAUCCGUUCCUUGUAGCUCGGCACCUCUUCCUGGCAGGGGUGCUUUCUCCACGCCAUUGUGUGCCAGGUGGGCUUCUUGGCCAUGGGUCGUACAGUUUGCUUGCAGUCAGACAGUUGCGGCUUAUGGGAAUGCCAUACGUGCGUAGUUGUCAGCACACAUGUCUUGAUGACAUGCCUCGGCUCGACAUCUUCUGUAAGUGUGCCACUUUUCUGGCAUGUUGUCUCGUGUGAGGGAAAAGCGCCAGACUGCAGCUAGAAAAGAAACACUUAAUUCUACAACACGGGGUGGACCAGGAGGCAGUGCAUGGUGAUUUGGAGGUCUACAGCAUCGCACAGCAGUAAAUGCACAGGGUUACCAUAUAAGCAGACAGCAGAAAGAAGAAAAUUGAUAGAAAAGUCGCACUUCCGCCCAAAAGAUGGCACAUCGAUUGCAACAGCAAUUAGUGGACAGCUAUAUAAAGUAAGAAUAGUAGUUCCAUCGGCCAUAUAGACUUGUAAACAUAGGCAUACUAACUAAAUUAACAAGUAAGGUGCCACUCACGCACAAGCAGACACAUCUCACUCGAUGACCGCGGGAACUCGGUGUCCGAGCGCUACAGUGAGGAAACGCAGCCGCAGCAUUGAGUGAAGUGACCUUCGUGCUGCCGCUCGCAUUAACGUGAACUAAGCUGCGAAAAUACAGCGCAGCAUGAACUCUGUACUUGUCGCAGAUGGCUUUCAAUUAACUCUUUCCUUACUGCCUCAUACAGCAUCGAUCACUACUGAUCGAUGGUUUUGAACACGACCUACUGCAUAAAAAAUACAGUAGGUCAUGGUUUUGAAUGCCCCGCCAAAAAUAAAACUCUGCACUGGAUACCUGGCUCCAUCUGGCCAGUAAUAGGAUAACUACUGCGCAUUUUAUAUUAUAUGUUUUUUGCGUUCACAGGUGCGAGGGCUUCUGCGGAAAAAAAAAAAAAAAAGCAGCGAAGGAGAUAGCGCGGAGUUUUCGCAAGAUGCCGCCGAAAACGCGUCGCGCGCCACUGAAGAAGUCUUCUCAAAGUGAUUCCGCUGCUUCUGAUGCCAAUAUUCUCGAUAUGAGUAGUAGUAAGGAGUCCAUAGGGGACAUUGGAUCAUUUGUAUUCGACUUUGACAGUGUAUGAUUCGUCUACGCAGUCCGAACUUUCAACUAGUGUGGCAAGGUCCAUAGCAAGGGUGUCAACUACAUACGGAGGCAAUAUUUUGCCAAACACAUGGUGCCGAGCCAAGUUCUCACCGAAACGUGCACCCGGCGUACACCCGGAUGCGACACGCCGGAGUGAGAAGCGGAGGUUAAUUUUUAGUGCACUGGACAAGUUCAUGUUUUUUACCACUGCCCUGAUUGCCACUUUCUGUGCACACACCAACAAGUAUGCGUGGAUGAAGAUUUUUGAGAAGCCCAGCUAUGCUCAGCCAGAUGGCUCUUGGCUAGAGGUCACGCCCCUAAGAAGUUGCGUUUCAUUGCACUGUUGAUUUAUAUGGGCAUUGUGCAACUACCUCGGCUCCAUUUGUAUUGGAACAUUGGAAUAAUCUACGGCAGUCUACUCCCAGAGAAGGUCAUGAACAGGAAGCAUUUCUUGUCCCUGCUUGCUUUUUUGCAUGUCGCGGACCCUGAGGAUGAUAGUGCUGCUUCAGCUGGCAAACUGAAUUCCCACUACUUCGACAGGUCAAUGAGGCGUCGACACAACUUUUUCAGCCACGGGAAGCCAUUUCAGUCGAUGAAAGAAUGGUGAAAUCUAAAGCACGCUUGGGAAUCGGGCAAUAUAUUCGUGACAAGGUGACAAAGUGGGGUUACAAAUUGUGGAUUUUAGCUGAGUCAGAAAACUGGAUACACACUGCAAUUCAUUUACACGGGCAAGUAGGAAACACUGGGACCGCAUAAAUUGACUUUUGAUGUAGUCGGUAAACUUUGCGACAAAUAUUUAGGACAGUUAUACAAAAUUUAUGUGAACAAUUUUUGUACUUCGAAGCACCUUUUCAAACAACUCCUUCCGUGAAAAACGCUGGCAAGUGGAACAACGGGAAAAGAUCGUCGAGGCUUCCCUGGCGAUCUGAAUGAUUCAAAAUGGGAAAAGAAAGCUCAACGUUGAGACAUUCGUUGGAUCAGGGAAGGAAACGUCUUAAUUGUUUCUUCAGUGGAAAGACCGUCGGGCUGUAAGUCUUGUGAGCACCAUUAAUACAGCCACUGAACAUGUCCCUGCAAACAGACGUGCAAAAGUGGGCAACAAAUAAAGCGAGAGGACCAUAAAAAAGCCCUUGUUGGUGCAUGAGUACAACGCAGGUAUGCUAGUCUUUGACAAAUCUGACCAGAUCAUUGGCACAUACAAUGUUCUUCAUAAAUGUGUGCGCUGGUGGAAAACACCGUUUUUCCACUGCAUAGAUAUUGCUUGUGCAAAUAGUUUCAUUCUAUUUCAAGAGCACCCUGAUAUUCCUGAGCUACGUCUGAGUGCCCGCUUUGACCAGCUUUCUUUCCAAGAGAUGCUCAUGAGGCAAAUUUUGAAUCUUGAUGAUCAAUCAGCCAGCAUAUCUUAUCUGCCACCCGACUGGGUUCGCCGCAAGCCUGAGAAGGUUGACAACCGAAGGAACUGCAAGCAGUGCCAUGAGAACACCAAGUUGCUGCAUGACCAUUGAGCUUCAGUCCCCAUUUACGGGCUGCUUGAGUAUUUUUCGCUAGGCUUUUGUAUUUGCGAACUAGCACUACCCGAGUAUGGCGACCUUCGAGUACACACUGACAGGCUUCGAUAACUUUCUCGAACGGUGGUGCUUCGCUUUCGUCGAGCCGAUGCCUGCACACUCGGGUGUGCUGCCUCUGUGGUCUGGUGCCGUCCUGCAUACUGGUGUUGCCUUGCGGUCACGUGUUCUGCAAGCUCUGCAAAGGUGAGAUCGGAAAUGAAGCAAUGUGCCCACAGUGCCCUUUCGACAGCUCGACGUUCUCCAACGCCAACAUUGUGACGCUAAACUUCUCGCAGUGCGACUUGGAACAGCGUCACGUUUUGCAGCACCUGUGAAGUGCACCUUUGUUUUACCACUACGCGUAACUGUUUCACCGAUUGGGACAUGCAUCAUGGGUGCUGAGGUCAAAGGUCGCCUGAAAAUGUACUUUUUUUACCUAGAGUGCUCAAAUUUUCAGGAAGUGUACCUGAGGACACGGACAAUCAUUUGUAUAUUCCAGUGUUUUUUUUUUUUAUUCUGUGUAAUCAAGUACAGUGGCAAUUUUGUACCUUCGCCUGUAUGUUUUCCUUCCUUUUCUUCAACUUUCAGAAAUAAAUAUUGAAAAAUGUGGAA
Long non-coding RNA from Dermacentor andersoni, 3713 nucleotides. RefSeq lists it as uncharacterized. Lineage: Eukaryota; Metazoa; Arthropoda; Arachnida; Ixodida; Ixodidae. The record is from RefSeq and is a predicted model, not a curated record.